AGAAUCAACGCUGGCGGCGUGCCUAACACAUGCAAGUCGAACGAGAAAGUGGAGCAAUCCAUGAGUACAGUGGCGUACGGGUGAGUAACACGUGACUAACCUACCCUCGAGUGGGGAAUAACCUCGGGAAACCGGGCUAAUACCGCAUAACAUCUUCGGAUCAAAUGCGUAAGCAGCUUGAGGAGGGGGUCGCGGCCGAUUAGCUAGUUGGCGGGGUAAUGGCCCACCAAGGCAAUGAUCGGUA
This 244-nucleotide ribosomal RNA is filed under the name uncultured bacterium. Its description in RNAcentral is "partial small subunit ribosomal RNA". It matches the Rfam family "Bacterial small subunit ribosomal RNA", at positions 26 to 285 of the family's 1533-position model. The record is from RNAcentral.